Molecule: long non-coding RNA, 4119 nt
Organism: Monomorium pharaonis (pharaoh ant)
Lineage: Eukaryota; Metazoa; Arthropoda; Insecta; Hymenoptera; Formicidae
Exons: 2
Source: RefSeq, a predicted model, not a curated record
CGUUGGUAUAUAUAACAUAUAUAUAUAUAUAUAUAUAUAUAUUUCCUGGUAUGUUGUACACUUCGUGUCCGUACACUUGCGCGGCCUGUCAAUCGCCGACGCUGACAUUAAUAACGUAACUGACUAAUCGUCAUGCGCGACUGGAAAUAACUCGUAAUAGGAAACUAGCGGCGUGCGAGACUCCGCGACAGAUCGCAAUUUGUACUCGUCCGGAAAACAAGUCUCGACGAUCACGCCAUGUUGGUGCGGGCAUACCGAUUCGGCUCCCGUGAAUAAUCCACCAACACCGGUUCACGCUGCAGUCGUCAUCGCCGUAUUAACGAGCCGCGACGGAUCGCCAAAAUGUAUAAACAAAAUGCAGGACGGGCGGGCGCGUUCGCGCAUGGGCGAUCCCAUCGCCAGUACGAAUUAUCCCGAAAUGCAAAGAGCGUAUGAAAUUCGUUGAGCCGUUUAAAUCACAUUAUGCGCACCGUCCUCUCCGCAUCGCUCGCACCGGCUAUCUGCAUCCCAAUCCCCUCCUCCUCUCACCCUCUCACUCUCUCUUCCAAUGAAUUUUGCCACCUUCGAGGAUUUAUAUGUCCCGACAGGCAGGGACAGAAACGCAUGGAAUAAUGGAACGUAGCUUCGUCGGUGUAAUGACGCGACGGUCCGCGUCGAACCAGGCGGUUUCGACAGAGGGAACACGGGGGAGCUGGACAAAGACAGAGAGAGAGAUGGAGUGAGAGAGAGAGAGAGAGAGAGGGGGUCGGCAUGUGGGGGGCGGUAAUUAAAUUAAUGAUGCAAUAAUCACGCGCCUCGCGACCGAAUAAAUAACGUCUAUAUUAAUAUCACAUCCGAAACGGGAUACGCGGUGCAUAGGAACGAUCAUGCGCGUCGAAUUGCAUUUUCGCCGGCGAGAUCGCGCCGUACCCCUGUAAACGACAAAUAACAAUUACCACCCGCGGGCCACGGGCGACGACUCGUGAUAACUGUGUUUGGCCGUGGUAAACAUGUAAACCGGAAGGUUUAUAGUGCUUUUUUAAAUCCCGUUUUGCUCGAUAGAGACGAGGAAUUCGCUGUUUCGAGAUAAGCGAGACGUGCUCCCCCGCACGAACCGUCGAUCUUGUCGAGGGUGGCUUCAUUUUAAACCGAAUCUUUAAUUCUCAAUUACUUUUUAAUUAGCUGCUUUAACGGCUUGUUAAAUUUUCGCGAACAUUUCGCAAAAAAAAACGUGUAUUUAUUACUGCUGCGGAUGCUACGCAUGGAAAUGUGUUUCCUCUGUUCUUUCAUUAUUCCGGUUACGUGGGGAGGGCAGGGAAACGGGAAAGGAACAUAAAAUGUUGCAAAACGUUUUAUAGUGAUUAUUUCAUUUGCUAAUGCAUUACGUUGUAUAUAUUUAUUCAUACGUAUUUCUUCGUUUCUCAUCGGGGAACGCGUGCAACAGUUCCUUUCCCUCCCCCCUUUGCCCCCCCUCCCGUUACCCUUUUUUCCCUUUUACAACGGGAAUGUGAAAUAAACGUUCCGCGAAAAACAUUUGUUAUUCCGAUGGAUUUUUCGGGAUCUUGCGUUACACACGAAAACUAUGUUUACGAAUCACAUAAACAGCUGGCGCGGUACCGGGCGGCAUUCAUUUUGCUCACUUUGUGCUUUUUUCCGCGUGCCGGUGUUUUAUCUUGAUUUUCUAAUCCAUCUUCCGCACAUUCAGGCGACCCCGGGAGCGAUAUAAAGGGCGCUUAUUUUCCGGAUUGUUACAAGUGCACCUUCAUCAUUCUUUACGUCGACUGUUGGCGGAAUAAUAAGCUUUUGCCUCGGUUCACCCGACGUGAGAUUUUUCCCUGCCUCCCUCACCCUUUCCUUCUUUUCGUCGUCGAUUUGCUUUGAACGUAAUUUAUAUUUUUAACUGAGAUGUUAUACGACAGCUUUGCAAUUAUUUCAAUUACACUGUGUCACGCGGCGCUAUUCAUAUUCGAGAUUUUAUUCAACGGGAGCUUUAUCGCGACAGCGUUACCCGCUCAGCUCCGAUGAUAAUGACAAAAUCCAUUUUCUUUCCUUUCCAGUCGACUCGACCCUUUUACCGCCCUCCAACUUCUGCUCCAAGCAUUGCGCCAUUAUAAUUAUUCCGUGAGCUUCUUUUUCCCGACCGGGCAUUGACGGAAUAAUUAAUAAGCAUCACACUAAUUACUCAGCGACGGUAUUAUUAAUAUUUUCCCCCAACCUCCUUGUGGUAAUACACCCACGGUCACCGACGUAACGAUUAAUCAUUCGCACACAUUCGUAUACCGUUUGUUUCUGCGUCCUCUUGGGCGACACUCGUCGUUUUAUUCAGAGAAGAACCUACGCAUUCUUACACAAUGCGAGCGUCUCUAAUUAGAAAUGCAGUAAUCGUAAUACCGAGGGAACGACGAGACUUUUCCACGUUCAUUAUAUCUCCACGCAUUUUUUCCUCUCUUCACGACGCGGCGCGUAAGUAUUCUUACUUACGGAGUAAGCGAGAAUUUUCUCGCGGGGCGAGAAAAUUCGGGCCGCGGCAAGAGAGUCGAUCGAUAUCACGAGCGAAGCGCGGUCAUCCAUGCGGCGACCGGAUAACCGGUAGAGUCACUGAAAAAUUCCAUCUUCCCGUCCGGAUAUCCCGGGAGUCCUAUCGGGAAUAAUCACCGAAAGGGAAGCAAAGAAAAUUAGUUUCGAUCGCUCGAUCCCGAGUUCGGUAUCGUCCGUUCCCGACCGACGAAUUUCCGGGACGGGAUUUACGCGACGGGUUUUAUCAACCGCAUACUAAAAUAUUCAAUUAUGUACUUCUCCUUUCUCUCCCCUUUUUUUUCGCCGUCUCCCUUACGGCCACAGGCUCCAUGAACCGGGUUCGCCGGUCGAAUGUAAAUGUCGAAAGUCGCGACGAAUAUCGCGCUGCACGUCGAGAGACUUACUAUUAAUCCUUUGUUUUCCCCAGCGGGGGGAAAACACUCCCGAGUUCUCGAGUUUACGCAUUAUUGCCGUUGCAACGGGCGACAGCGAGAAGUAUUAAUUGUAUAGAAAAUUAGUCCACCCGAGCUGAGAGGCUCGUUCGUUUGUAACUCUCGGUGUAACGUCAAGUAACAUAUACUAAAAAGUCUGAUAGAAACUUUAUGUAUGUAAUAUUUUUUUUAAUGCCGAAAAGCGGUCGACAUUAAAAAAAACCUGUUGGUUACAAUCUGUUGAAAACCUGUCAAAACUUUCGUAUUCAUUAAAAAAAAAUAUAUAUAUAUAUAUAUAUAUAUAGUAAACGUAUAACAUAUAUGUGUAGAAAUUAUAUGCCGAGAAUGCAGUCGCUUUGAUACAUGCCAUCCGAGUCGAAAUUUUGACCCUACAUUAAACCUUUAAUUCUUUUUAUUUUUUUAAUAGCAAAAAUUAAAUUAAUAAUGAUACUAUAUAUUAAAGUUUAAUGUAGUUUAAUGUUGCAAUCUUUAUGAUAUAUUUUUAAAAUAGCAAACAAAAAGUAGGGCAAUGCAUUAUAUUUCGUUUAAUAAAAUAUUUAAAAAAAGUUAAAUUUGGUCAAGUAAUAUCCGCAAGGUUUACUGUGCAUAUAGAGACUUUUUAGCUUUAAAAUUAUUAAUAUUAAUUACUUAAUUUAACAUCUCUUUAAUAUUAGAACUCUUAAUUAGAAUGAUGUGUUAUAUAAGAAAAAAGGGGAAAGCAUUAUUUAUACAAAAGAAAGAAAGAGAGAUAAAAUACACAUGCAUAUAUAUGUACAUACAUGCUUAUAUGUAUAUACGUACAUACAUAUAUAUAGUCUUAUGGAUAUUAAAGUAGUAUCAAAAUUUCGACUCGGACAAAUUCACGCGUGAAAUUCACGCGUGAAACAUCAGAUGUUUUUCAUUUUCCCGAUGAAUUAUGUAUCCCCCAACAAGUAUUUCAUUAAUAUAAUCAUUAUUGGCGCGGAUAUCGUGUGCCGAUUGAACCAUUGCGUGAUAGCGCGCGAUUAUAUCCGUUUAUAUUGUAUUAUUGUGUUAUAUUAUCAAAGUACUAUUUGCUAGAUAUAUAGGCCAGCAGUAAUGUAUAAGUACUACGAAUAAUCAUCGCGUACAUUUGCCUGAGUUAUUAAUGCUCCUUCAUUUAUGGAUUAUGCAUUUCGUUUCACUUCCUGUUUUUAGAAUUAAUUUUUUCCCA